This 252-nucleotide ribosomal RNA is filed under the name uncultured bacterium. RNAcentral's name for it is "partial 16S ribosomal RNA". It matches the Rfam family "Bacterial small subunit ribosomal RNA", at positions 524 to 776 of the family's 1533-position model. The record is from RNAcentral.
UACGUAGGUCCCGAGCGUUGUCCGGAUUUAUUGGGCGUAAAGCGAGCGCAGGUGGUUUAUUAAGUCUGGUGUAAAAGGCAGUGGCUCAACCAUUGUAUGCAUUGGAAACUGGUAGACUUGAGUGCAGGAGAAGAGAGUGGAAUUCCAUGUGUAGCGGUGAAAUGCGUAGAUAUAUGGAGGAACACCGGUGGCGAAAGCGGCUCUCUAGCCUGUAACUGACACUGAGGCUCGAAAGCGUGGGGAGCAAACAGG